This 536-nucleotide ribosomal RNA is filed under the name uncultured bacterium. RNAcentral describes it as "bacterial SSU rRNA". It matches the Rfam family "Bacterial small subunit ribosomal RNA", at positions 355 to 895 of the family's 1533-position model. The record is from RNAcentral.
UGAGGAAUAUUGGUCAAUGGGCGAGAGCCUGAACCAGCCAAGUAGCGUGCAGGAUGACGGCCCUAUGGGUUGUAAACUGCUUUUGUAUGGGGAUAAAGUCAAUCACGUGUGAUUGUUUGCAGGUACCAUACGAAUAAGGACCGGCUAAUUCCGUGCCAGCAGCCGCGGUAAUACGGAAGGUCCGGGCGUUAUCCGGAUUUAUUGGGUUUAAAGGGAGCGUAGGCCGGAGAUUAAGUGUGUUGUGAAAUGUAGACGCUCAACGUCUGACUUGCAGCGCAUACUGGUUUCCUUGAGUACGCACAACGUUGGCGGAAUUCGUCGUGUAGCGGUGAAAUGCUUAGAUAUGACGAAGAACUCCGAUUGCGAAGGCAGCUGACGGGAGCGCAACUGACGCUUAAGCUCGAAGGUGCGGGUAUCGAACAGGAUUAGAUACCCUGGUAGUCCGCACAGUAAACGAUGGAUGCCCGCUGUUGGUACCUGGUAUCAGCGGCUAAGCGAAAGCAUUAAGCAUCCCACCUGGGGAGUACGCCGGCGGU